GUAUUCGUACGGUUUUGGUUGUUUUGGUGGGGGAUGGGCUCGCGGCCUAUCAGCUUGUUGGUGGGGUGAUGGCCUGCCAAGGCUUUGACGGGUAGCCGGCCUGAGAGGGUGGGCGGUCACACUGGGACUGAGACACGGCCCAGACUCCUACGGGAGGCAGCAGUGGGGAAUAUUGCACAAUGGGCGCAAGCCUGAUGCAGCGACGCCGCGUGAGGGAUGGAGGCCUUCGGGUUGUGAACCUCUUUCGCCAGUGAAGAAGGUCCUGCUCUUUGUGGUGGGGUUGACGGUAGCUGGGUUAAUGAAGCGCCGGCUAACUAC
RNAcentral lists this ribosomal RNA (318 nucleotides) under uncultured bacterium. RNAcentral describes it as "bacterial SSU rRNA". It matches the Rfam family "Bacterial small subunit ribosomal RNA", at positions 185 to 504 of the family's 1533-position model. The record is from RNAcentral.